Molecule: ribosomal RNA, 468 nt
Filed under: uncultured bacterium
Lineage: Bacteria
Description: partial 16S ribosomal RNA
Rfam family: Bacterial small subunit ribosomal RNA
Source: RNAcentral
GACGAACGCUGGCGGCGUGCUUAGCACAUGCAAGUCGAACGGAAAGGCCCUGCUUUUGUGGGGUGCUCGAGUGGCGAACGGGUGAGUAACACGUGAGUAACCUGCCCUUGACUUUGGGAUAACUUCAGGAAACUGGGGCUAAUACCGGAUAGGAGCUCCUGCUGCAUGGUGGGGGUGGGAAAGUUUCGGCGGUUGGGGAUGGACUCGCGGCUUAUCAGCUUGUUGGUGGGGUAGUGGCUUACCAAGGCUUUGACGGGUAGCCGGCCUGAGAGGGUGACCGGCCACAUUGGGACUGAGAUACGGCCCAGACUCCUACGGGAGGCAGCAGUGGGGAAUAUUGCACAAUGGGCGGAAGCCUGAUGCAGCAACGCCGCGUGCGGGAUGACGGCCUUCGGGUUGUAAACCGCUUUCGCCUGUGACGAAGCGUGAGUGACGGUAAUGGGUAAAGAAGCACCGGCUAACUACGUG